CUCUGAAUUACUGAUUUACAAGACUGAUCUAUAAACAUGUAACUUGGUUCAUUUAUUCUUGGUUCAGAGAGGAGGAAGCUCCAUCUGAACAUCAGCUUUUCAGCUGGUUCUGUGUAAAAAAACUCAUCCAGCCCAUUAAGCUGCACCUUAUUACUCAAUGAAUCACUAUUCUGAGAUUAGAGAAGUUCUUCUAUCAGGAGAAUAUUUUAAUCAGAUUCCAGAUCCAUUUUAUCAAAA
Melanotaenia boesemani (Boeseman's rainbowfish) is the source of this 237-nucleotide long non-coding RNA. RefSeq lists it as uncharacterized. The record is from RefSeq and is a predicted model, not a curated record. NCBI's taxonomy places the organism in Eukaryota, Metazoa, Chordata, Actinopteri, Atheriniformes, Melanotaeniidae. The transcript is spliced from 4 exons.